UGUAUGCAUAGGGACCAACUGGAACAGAAUUUAAAAGCAGAAAUUGUUACCGUAUUAUGGUAUUAGAAUUAUCAGCAGCUUCUUUCCGUUUAUACAAGUGUUUGGUUUAAAUCUCAAAUUAAUGACUCAAAUAAAAUGACUUAAGAGUGAGGAAGCACCACAAAAUUUAUUAUUUUCUAUAUAAAGCCUAACUGUAAAAGCUUUAUAAUCAAAUCUUUCAAUAUGUAUGAGUGAAAGAGGGGAAAAGGGGUAGGAAGGGAAAAAGAUUAGUCAAGCAAAUAAAUGCCUUUAAGGAUGCAUGCAUAGAUUGGUUGAUUGGCAUUUCAUAUACUCUGCCCUAGUCCGAGGUAAGAAAUGAAGCAAGAACCAAAAUGUAACCCUAGAGAAAACAGCUGGAUGGUUCUUCACCAAACUACCCUUGUAUUCCAGUAGCUUUUAUUCCAGAAGAAUGGAAAACAUGGUCAAGCAACAACUAGUACCCACAUGUUCCCAGAGGCACAAUUCACCAUGGCCAAAAGGCAGAAACAGCUCAGGUGUCCACCUGAAGAGGAAUGGAUGAACAAGAUGGAGUCCAUCCAUACAAUGGUGAAAUACUCAGCCUUGGAAAGAAGAAAGCACUGAGACCUGGGAAAACAUGCAGAAACUGGAAAGUCUCAUGCUAAGGGCAAAAACUCAGGAGGAGGCACCCAAUGGUCUGAUGAGAGGUCACACACCACAGCAUGGCCACCAAGGAACCAAGAUGGAAGCCUUCAUUUUUCUGAAGCUAGCGCUCUUCCAACAUCAAAUGAAGGAGAGAGUUCUCCAACAGGAAAUAGGAGUGGAUGCCAGAAACCAAAAACAAAGAUUGCAAAAACCUCUACAAAGAGAUAACAGAGAUUUGCUUUGACCUUGACCCUGCCUCUCCCAUCCUGCUGUAUUUUUCAUCCUGCUGUAGAGUUCUCAGCCUCAGAAUCUCCUGCCACAGGCUUUUUCUAUAACAACUUUUGCAGUUGAAAAGAAAAUUCUGUAUUCACAACCUACCAAGGCAGAAACACAGAAGAUCUCUUGACCAAGAGUUAAAUGACCUACCUUGAGAUAGUACUAUGAGAUGCUCACAUGGUUACAGUGUUCCAGCAGAUAAGGGCCUCUCGUUACCAGAUGGAGGCCCGGUGCACCACUAUAAAUUCAAUUCCCCCAACUGCAGAACAAGUGAUUUUGAGUGAGUCACUUUCUAAGCCCCAGAUUGUGGCCUCUCUCAAGUAAGGUUAACAAUCCCUGUCUUGUCGAGCUGCUAUGUGAAGCAAAAGCAGUAGCAAGGAAAAAAGAUCUGGCAAAACACCUGACACAUACAAAGAUCUUGAAUAUGAAUUUAUUUAUCUUCUCUUAAAAUGUAUAAGCUAGUUAGAAAGACCAGACACAUCCUUUCAGUGAGCAGAAAAUGAGUUUUAAAAUAAUGCUAUCCCGGAGUUUUCAAAAUAUAAAUAGCUGCACAAUUCCCCUUUGCAAACAGCAUGGCGCUAUGACUUGAAUUCCCCCCAACACAAAAAUAAAAACUCAUGUUGAAA
Ictidomys tridecemlineatus (thirteen-lined ground squirrel) is the source of this 1544-nucleotide non-coding RNA. The record is from RefSeq and is a predicted model, not a curated record. Lineage: Eukaryota; Metazoa; Chordata; Mammalia; Rodentia; Sciuridae.